UACACUCACAUACAAGCGAGCGCCGUCCGCUCCGUUGUCUUUUUUAGGAGACAUAGACAGAUGAAAAGAGCGUUAAAUGUGUGAAGCCGCCAACUGAGAAAUGAAAUCUUUACCACUGUCCAAACACGAAAUGCUUCCACCAUCACACCAAUAACAUCACUGGCACCUCUGACAUUUAUUUCUGUAAUUCAUUGCUUGUUUUCAUUUUUUUUUUCAUUUUUGCUUGUGCCUCUAAGUGCCUUUUUCUAACAUGGCGGCAGCGAGCAGGCAUCAGCCACACCGGAGCGCGGCCAUCCACGGUGCUAUCAUCUCUCCUCCUCGGCCCAAUCGAGAUAGCUCGAGUUGCACGCUGGGAAGAUUUUAAGCGGGAGCGGGAGGCUCGGAGCCGGCGGGAGUGGUUAGCGCGCUGUCGUCCUGUCGUUGUUGUCGUUCUGAGACGGCCAUUAUAUUUGACUUGUUUGGAUACCAUCCGAUCACCAUUGUGUGCUGCCACCACUUGUAGCCUGCAGUAGUUAUUACCGCUUCUACUGGGAACUUGCGCCAUCCGCUGCACCCUCAUGCCUUUGUGCAGCAGAGACCUUUUCGGUGUGUUGCGCGGUCGCUGCAACGAGCCGGGUUGUGAGUGCAAGCGAUACACCAUUCUGCGCCUGUCGGAAAGUGACAACCUGGUGAGGUGUGACUAUUGUGACCACGUCCCAAAUGCACACGGAAAAAUAUGUGAUCUCGAAACGAAAAAUGCAGCCGAGGCAAAGGUGCAAUGCAAUGUGCCAGGCACCGCUGUUCGAGGCCUCAGUGUCACAUGAAACUGUGGAAGCUUGCACAUCUAGUCUCCUCAGUGCAAUAUGAGAGGACUGUCCCAGUUGGUGCCUCCAUAGAAAAUGAAUCGGCCUGAAUGCCUGUGCAAGAAUCACAACCUGGCUGCUCUAAAGACUCCGCACCGUAGUCCCAUGUGCAAGAGCCCCCACUUGACAGCCCAGUGGUUGCCAUGGACAAAGAGAUCCGCGAUACUGAAUGCGGCCAAGCAGUACAAGUUUUUACAUGGACAGUUAACACGAAGUUAUUGACGACAUGCAUGGCUGAAACACGGUGAUAUGAUUUUAAAAAUUCCUGUGUUAUGAUGCAAGUGAUAGUAUUCUGUUGAAUUUUCAGAUCUAGUCAUGUGCCAGCAAGGCCUGCUGUACUUCUGGUGUAUUCUAUGUUGUAUUUUCAAAUAAAGAUGUUGCAUUCUGAAGUUAACCUUA
Molecule: long non-coding RNA, 1241 nt
Organism: Dermacentor albipictus
Lineage: Eukaryota; Metazoa; Arthropoda; Arachnida; Ixodida; Ixodidae
Source: RefSeq, a predicted model, not a curated record